CCUUGAGAUAAUUGCCCACAUCUCCACUUUGAGCAAAUAGUAUUAGUAUUUGGGGUUCCUUGGAAAGGCUUUAAGGAGGAAAUAUCCAGGGUACUAGGCAGGAAAUAGGAGUGAGGACCAAGGACGAUGCAGAGCUAUCAUGGCCCAGGGGUUGGCUCCCCAGCCUCAGUGGGAGACGAUGGAGGGCCUUGGCCCACUUCUGGUUGGUUGGAUCCCAAGCCCAGCCCAGGAAGGUCAGCCAGUUCCUCUUGCAGUAAGGAGGAGACUCCCUUCCCAGCAAAGUCUUCCUGCUGAAGAAAUGCAGCCCGGGCCCAGGGCGCAGGUACAAGCAUGGCCUCCUCCCCAGGGACACUCAGCACCCAGAGCAGGCAGCACCUGAGAGCAAGACUGGCGUCAUCCGUCAGCCUGGCAGGAUUUAGAGCCGGUUCAUGAAUCCUGCAGCUUCCUGCUUAUUGGUGAAAAUCUCCUGUUUGGGAAGUGGGUGACCAAAGAGCACUGAACACUGGCAGCUGAGGAGGCCCCAGCUUCCUCUUCCUGCCUUCUAAAGGUCAGAGCCAGAGGGCCAGCUCCCAGGCAGGGUCUGGCCUUGGUUCUCCCCUAUGAUAGGCCAGGUAAAGUAUGGGUGGAGCGGCCUUGCCCCAUCAGGAUCUUCUAUUCAUCCUUGGGUACCACCUGGUAUCUCCCACCCCUGAAAUCCCCUGGGCAAGUGCAGUCUCAUUAGCACUGGGAGACAACUCAGUAGAACCUCUACUGGAUACUCAGGGGAAUGGUGAGCCAAGGAAAAAUCAUGACCAUUUCCAGGCUCCUUGGCAGCCCUGGGUGGUGAAUGGUUGGUCUGUUUCCAGUUC
This 848-nucleotide long non-coding RNA is filed under the name Vombatus ursinus (common wombat). RNAcentral's name for it is "lncRNA (ENSVURG00010023418.1)". The record is from RNAcentral. Lineage: Eukaryota; Metazoa; Chordata; Mammalia; Diprotodontia; Vombatidae.